Molecule: ribosomal RNA, 462 nt
Filed under: Streptococcus cristatus
Lineage: Bacteria; Bacillati; Bacillota; Bacilli; Lactobacillales; Streptococcaceae
Description: bacterial SSU rRNA
Rfam family: Bacterial small subunit ribosomal RNA
Source: RNAcentral
GACGAACGCUGGCGGCGUGCCUAAUACAUGCAAGUAGAACGCUGAAGGAGGAGCUUGCUCUUCUGGAUGAGUUGCGAACGGGUGAGUAACGCGUAGGUAACCUGCCUGGUAGCGGGGGAUAACUAUUGGAAACGAUAGCUAAUACCGCAUAACAUUGACUAUUGCAUGAUAGUCAAUUGAAAGGUGCAAAUGCACCACUACCAGAUGGACCUGCGUUGUAUUAGCUAGUUGGUGGGGUAACGGCUCACCAAGGCGACGAUACAUAGCCGACCUGAGAGGGUGAUCGGCCACACUGGGACUGAGACACGGCCCAGACUCCUACGGGAGGCAGCAGUAGGGAAUCUUCGGCAAUGGACGGAAGUCUGACCGAGCAACGCCGCGUGAGUGAAGAAGGUUUUCGGAUCGUAAAGCUCUGUUGUAAGAGAAGAACGAGUGUGAGAGUGGAAAGUUCACACUGUGACG